This 1649-nucleotide long non-coding RNA is filed under the name Fukomys damarensis (Damara mole-rat). RNAcentral's name for it is "lncRNA (ENSFDAG00000031861.1)". The record is from RNAcentral. Lineage: Eukaryota; Metazoa; Chordata; Mammalia; Rodentia; Bathyergidae.
CAACUGACCAAGGCAGGACUGCUCCGAGGUUCACCUGCAAUCCCCACUGGAGAUCCUUGGACUGGGUACUGAUUGUGGCCCCGUGUUAUAGACUGAGAAACUGAGGUCUGAGAGCUUAGGGGCCACACAACUCAUACGUGGUAGAAUCAAGAGUUGAAUCCACAGCUUUAAUUUCUGAGCGAGUGUUCUGCAUUCCUACACUAGGCCAUAAGUGAUUCAAUUUCCAGCCCACUAUAUCAGUCCUCUCUGCUCUGCUCCUUCUGUAAAUAAUACAGUUCAUAUGCCCUAUGCUUUCCGGCCUUCUGGACUGUCUCCUUUACCUGCUCUGCCCCUCAGCUUUACCUCCAACUUUGCCAUUCUACGCUGAUUCUGUGUACACAAAAACACUUCCUACCCUCUCCUGGGCCCCUUUGGUAUUUAGUUCUCCUUCGUUGUUUUUAAAGUACGUCCCCAGAUCAGCAGCUUCAGCAUGAGCUCCUACCUAAGACCUGCUGAAUCAGAAACUGGGCACAGAGCCCGGUGAUCUGUUUUAACAAGCCCUCCAGUGAGUCUGAUGCAUGACAGGCUUGAGAACCACUGGGCUCCCUCCUGCUUCUCUGGACCCCAACAAGUCUUGGCGACAAUUAACGGUGCAGCACGACCUGGUCGUGGAAGGAUGUCCCUUCCUGAGCUCUACAAUGUGAACAGUUCUCCCCGGACACCUGGAAGUUUAGGUGGGUCCAUACUGCUCGACAUUAAGUGUGGACUUUAAAACAAAAGGACUCCUGAAUUCUUCGUGAAGAGCCAAAUCCCAGGAAGAGUCCACUACAACUUCAUUAAAAAGCAAAAGUAAGUAUUUUGCCUAAUUACAGGCGUAUAACAUGGCUGCCUUUCUGGAUCGAGCACCCCAGCCGUGCUGCCCCUGGAGUCUCCCCGUGUUGUCAGUUCCUGUUCUGUUCAUCAGUCCAAGUUGCAGGGGCCAGGAGACCCUGUUCCUGUUCCCUACCUGAUGGUUAUAUUGUUAAUGCUUGGCCGCACCCGUGGCACUUGGCUCCUGAGAGCGUCCCCACUGCCAGUUUCCCGCGUGCUUCUCACCCCAUCACUCAUCUCAUCACCCUACAGCUUCCUUCACGAAGCUCCAGCAGCUAGUUCCUUGCAGUAUCCUCUCUUGGGGCUCCAGUGGGACUCAGCCUCCUUCCGGCCCAGGCCACCUUACAGCCCUCAGUUGCUUGGACCGGGUCAUCAUCACUGUGCAAAUCUCCUGGCGAUAGAGCCCUUCGGCCACGUGUGGUGGUCAGGACCAACAGCUGGCGUGUCAACACCUGCAUGGCUAUUCGGAGCCCACGAAUGCGGGUAGAGGAGGCACUGAGCUGGGACCAGAAGAGCGGAUGGAAUCACUUGCGAAACACUAAUAAAUCUGCUGGCCCAGCUGUUCCUCAUCUGAUGAUUCUGCAGGGAAAGUGUGAAAUGGUAGAGAUGUCCAUGGGCCUGGGGGAGCCCUUCAGAGGCAAACAGUUCUCCCAAAGCCCCUGAAGCUGGGGUGGGAAGCAUCUGGAAAUAUCUGAGGGGCACUCACUGGUGUCAGGAGGCCUGGGCCCCCAGAGGCCGCAUACAUGCAUGGGGUGUGCCUGGGAACACAAGGGGUGGCCAAGUCCCAUCUCCCAGAGCAC